CUCUGGCAAGAAGAGGAUCGGAAUAGCGCACUCUCCAGAGCGUGUUUGUUUGUCCACAGCAAAGGAGACCAGAAACAUGGAGACCACUUCGAGGCCAGAUUGGCCUACCAGGACAGCAGGAGAUUUUCCAGUGGGCUGCAGCAGCUGGGUUUGACAAACCACCACUGCACAGCCCUUGGUUUUUGAGAACAGAAACAUCCAAUUGAAGAAUGGAAUACGCAGGGAUGCAACUACAG
Molecule: long non-coding RNA, 236 nt
Organism: Bombina bombina (fire-bellied toad)
Lineage: Eukaryota; Metazoa; Chordata; Amphibia; Anura; Bombinatoridae
Exons: 3
Source: RefSeq, a predicted model, not a curated record